AAUGAUUUGGCAGAUUAGUGCAUUAAAUUUAGAAUUUAAAAAAGUAUUAAUAUUAUUACAUUCAUUA
RNAcentral lists this transfer RNA (67 nucleotides) under Nephotettix malayanus. Its description in RNAcentral is "tRNA-Leu". Lineage: Eukaryota; Metazoa; Arthropoda; Insecta; Hemiptera; Cicadellidae. The record is from RNAcentral.